RNAcentral lists this ribosomal RNA (228 nucleotides) under uncultured eukaryote. RNAcentral describes it as "partial 18S ribosomal RNA". It matches the Rfam family "Eukaryotic small subunit ribosomal RNA", at positions 1208 to 1456 of the family's 1831-position model. The record is from RNAcentral.
AGAAAUCUCACCAGGCCCGGACACUGGAAGGAUUGACAGAUUGAUAGCUCUUCCUUGAUUCGGUGGGUGGUGUUGCAUGGCUGUUCUUAGUUGGUUGAGUGAUUUGUCUUGUUAAUUCCUAUAACGAACGAGACUCUGUCCUGCUAAAUAGUGACGCGGUUCAUCGAACCGUGGGCCACUUCUUAGAGGGACUAUCGGAUUCAAACCGAUGGAAGUGUGAGGCAAUAA